ACGGGUGAGUAAUACAUCGGAACGUGUCCUGUAGUGGGGGAUAGCCCGGCGAAAGCCGGAUUAAUACCGCAUACGCUCUAAGGAGGAAAGGGGGGGAUCUUAGGACCUCUCGCUCAAGGGGCGGCCGAUGGCAGAUUAGCUAGUUGGUGGGGUAAAGGCCUACCAAGGCGACGAUCUGUAGCUGGUCUGAGAGGACGACCAGCCACACUGGGACUGAGACACGGCCCAGACUCCCACGGGAGGCAGCAGUGGGGAAUUUUGGACAAUGGGCGCAAGCCUGAUCCAGCAAUGCCGCGUGUGUGAAGAAGGCCUUCGGGUUGUAAAGCACUUUUGUCCGGAAAGAAAACCCCUGCCCUAAUACGGCGGGGGGAUGACGGUACCGGAAGAAUAAGCACCGGCUAACUACGUGCCAGCAGCCGCGGUAAUACGUAGGGUGCGAGCGUUAAUCGGAAUUACUGGGCGUAAAGCGUGCGCAGGCGGUUCGUUAAGACAGGUGUGAAAUCCCCGGGCUUAACCUGGGAACUGCAUUUGUGACUGGCGGGCUAGAGUAUGGCAGAGGGGGGUAGAAUUCCACGUGUAGCAGUG
Molecule: ribosomal RNA, 585 nt
Filed under: uncultured bacterium
Lineage: Bacteria
Description: bacterial SSU rRNA
Rfam family: Bacterial small subunit ribosomal RNA
Source: RNAcentral